RNAcentral lists this non-coding RNA (259 nucleotides) under Amborella trichopoda. Its description in RNAcentral is "Bacterial small subunit ribosomal RNA". It matches the Rfam family "Bacterial small subunit ribosomal RNA", at positions 600 to 857 of the family's 1533-position model. The record is from Rfam by way of RNAcentral. Lineage: Eukaryota; Viridiplantae; Streptophyta; Magnoliopsida; Amborellales; Amborellaceae.
AGUAUUUACUAUUAUUUAUAUUACUAUUACUACUAUUAUUAUUACGAGUACAGCAAGGGCAAAUGGAAUUUUCAGGGGAGCGGUGAAAUGUAUAGAGAUAAAAAAGAACAUCAAUAGUGAAAGCACUUUGCUAAGCCGACACCAACACUGAGAGACAAAAGCUAGGGGAGCAAAUGGGAUUACAUACCACAUUAGUCCAAUCAAAAACGAUGGAUGCCGCCCUCUGUGUAUCAAACAAUGCAAACGAUGGAUGCCACCC